RNAcentral lists this long non-coding RNA (2354 nucleotides) under Androctonus crassicauda. Lineage: Eukaryota; Metazoa; Arthropoda; Arachnida; Scorpiones; Buthidae. The record is from RNAcentral.
UGAAUUAAUAUUAUUCUGUUUCUUGUUUGAAUGCAAACAGAAGUAUGGUCGUCAUUUAUUUUAAUAAACAAAUCUAAUUGGAAUAAAUGAGUUUAAAUUGGUUAAAACACUAUAAAUUUUGGUCGUGUUCCAAUGCCAUCUACCGAGAAAGAAAACGAAAUAUAUGGUGUAAUUUAAAAAUAUUUUCUUCGGCUUUCUAGGGCUAUCCUAGAACUUCUGAGAAAUACUUCUGUUCUUUUUGACCCUACUCGUAUUACCAACUGCUGGCAAGGAUGGGUCAAGGUUUAACCACAAAUCAACAGUCGAGAAUUAUACAGAGUCGAGUGCAUCAAGAAAGCUCUCCUUAUCAGCGCAGGAAAUAGUGUCGCGUUUUAAAUCAGCUUCCUUGUUGUCAGAACGCGUUCAACUUUCCCACCCAUGUUCGAAUCGGUUAGAAGAAGAAAAAAGAAAAAAAGAAUUUCACCGCCUUUUCUCGCACAGAUUUUAAAAGGUGCAGUGACUCGCACACCGAAUUCGUCCGUUUGUUAUCCGAGUUAUUUCAAAACUUCGUGCGUAGGAAUUUACAAACGGUGCAGAAUCUAUCGAAACUGACGCGACGUCGCUGUUUGUUUUUUAGGUAUGACGUCAUCGGCAUGGGUCGCCGUCCUGCGGGAGACUGAGGCCUGUGACGUCACAAUUUCACGCGUUGUUUUAUAUACUGUACCGACUGACUGCAAGGCGAAUGGAGCCGCUAUACUAGAAGUCGGUGAAUGUGUCGGUCUCUAUACAAAUGGCCUUGAGAUUGGCCUCGCACUGGCCUGUCACCCGUGGCCUGAGGGUAAAUGGUGGCGCCAGUCCGGUUGGCUUUUGACGAUUGCUAUUGCCUAGCGAAUUCGUUUUAAGUAUCUGUAAGCAUCGCCCUGUCCGGGUAAAAGAUGGAAUUCUGUUAAGACUGAAGUUCUGAGAUCGGCUUCAAUGCAGAACGGAGGAGGAAUGGAUAACAAAAGACACUCGCAUUUUUGGGCGUCGAAUUUGACUAUAUAAACUCGCUACGCCCUUUGGGGUCGCAUUUAAGGGUCUUCCUUAUAAUGUAGAUCGUGUCAACUGUCAGCUCUUUUCCUUAACGACAAUCCUUUAUUUAUUCAUGUUGUUUUAUCGCAUAAAAACGUGUGUUAUAUCCAUUAUCUGUAAGAAUUUCUUUCGUUUACAUUAUCGCUAUUUACAGUCUAUAUUUUGCAAGUCGACAGGAAUUGCAAAACAAACAAAAGGAAGGAAAAUUUCAUUGCUAAUUAAGUUUAUCGUUUUUUUUUUUUACAAUUUAACCAUCUAAACUGCAGUAUCUUUAUUAAUGCGCUUGCAGUAAUUAUCAAAGACAAUUCAUAUGUUAUAUCAGGUUCGAGUUUGGAGGAAGGAAAAAAAAUAUCUUAAAAACGUAUUCGAGUUUCAAACACCAAAACGUAAUUAUUUUGUACAGAAAUUUAUAUAAUAAUUGCGCAGAUUUAUCACAGAUUAUUUGUCUUAUCUCUAAAGAAAAUCACUUAAGUAACUUGUACAGUAUCUACUGUGCAAUAUUUAGUAUGUAGCGUGACUAGCGCAUUCUUGAAUUUAUCCAAUAUACCAUAAGUAAAUAUCUAUAGGCUGUAGUCUGUAUAAUCUGUUAGAACAGAUUAUUACUUUAUUAUAUUAUUAAAGUGACCAAUAAACGUCCAAAUGUUAGGAACGUUGGCAUAAAAAGUAAUCUGGAGUGUGCUCGCUCUCACCCCUCUUAGUAGUGUAUUCAGUGCAGCUGCGAGACAAACAGCUGGCGUACAAACGUCAUAAAUGUGAUUGAACUUCCCAUAAUGUACUACUACAACCGUACAGGGAUUAUAGUUUAAUCUGCUUAAUUUAAACUUUCUUAUUUGAACAGUAGAGAGACAUAAAACAGCCGCGACGAUAGUUUAGUUAGUCCAUUCACCCUCUCAAUAAUUCGGGUCGUGGGUAAGAACGUAUAAGUGUAUGUUUUGAGCCUAUCACCGGUUACCAUAGUAACGGGGGAUAGAUCAUUGGACACGCCCCAGUUUCAGAUGUUGGCCAACGCGUAUUUGUAAGUUAAAAAUAAAUUACUCUCCGACAUGUCAAUAAUUUUUCUGCACAAGGGGUUUUUAAUUUUACGGGCUACUCUGCUCCUUUUAUAUAGGCUACAAUCUAAUUUGGCCGACAUUAAUUUUAGAGAGGAAUAAAAAAUUAAAACAGUCGUAAUAAAAAAAAAAAAAAAUAUACUCGAAAAACAAACUUUUUAAAGAUUAAAAGUGAUUAAUGUCACAUGCAGUUCUUAUUGAUCUCUAUGUAGAAACUUUCAUCGAUUGUUACUUAAUUUUUUUUUUUUUUUUACC